AACAUUUUGAGUUUCACAUGUCGGCUGGAGCCGAGCUGUUUUGCUACAGAGCAUUAUGUCGUUUUGUAUGAAGUGUGCAGUGCCAUAGUAUGACAUAAAAUCCAACCUCUAGCACGAUCUUCAGAACAACCCUCUUCUGAUUCGUCUUCAAGUUUCCGUUGGUUUCCAUGGUUUUGCAAAUACCCAAACGUAUGUGUAAUUGAAACUGCAAGGCAUGGAUGCUGUAUGUUUGACUGCUCAACAAUGCGACGAGAAAGAGUCAGAUUCAUAGAUGGCGAAAAAGGUAGAAAGAAACAAAAUUCCCGGGUCAAAACCAAUGAAUAGUCAUUUCCGGUAACUGCAGCCUUGAAUUUACAUGUAAAAGCUAGCUUAUCAUCUUAACAAAAUUAAAGUAUGUACAAAUGGAUGUCAAUCGAAUGUUCAAUAGUUUUUUUUUGUUUUUUUUUUAAUAAUGGUAUGAUAUUAAAAUGCUUAUUUUUCAAUAUAAAUUGCAUCAUCAAAAUUUCAAAUAUGAUUAAAUCUAGACCAAUUAGUUCAAGAUUUAAAAAAAAAAUCCUUAUAUAUGUAAUUAUACUAAAGAUGCCUAGAUAAAUUAUUGCUUAAAUUUAUUUAGAAAUAUUCUUUGAAAAACAGCCAAGCUCAUGAAAAAAAGAAGAAAUUAAAAAAAGGAUAAAUAAAUGAAAUGCUAAACGCUUGCUCUAAAAAUACUGCAGGUACAAUUUCACAGGUAAGAUUUGCCCGGCCAAUUUGUUAUACAAUACUUGUAUGUGUCAUGGUGGUAUAUCUCUUAAAAAAUCACAAAUCACAAUAUAUUUGUUAAACAAUAUUCAAAAUUUGCUCAGUAGUGUUAAGAGAGAGAGAGAGAGAGAGAGAGAGAGAGAGAGAGAGAGAGAGAG
This is a long non-coding RNA of Magallana angulata, 896 nucleotides long. RefSeq lists it as uncharacterized. The transcript has 3 exons. Lineage: Eukaryota; Metazoa; Mollusca; Bivalvia; Ostreida; Ostreidae. The record is from RefSeq and is a predicted model, not a curated record.